AGCGAACGCUGGCGGCAUGCUUAACACAUGCAAGUCGCACGGGCAGUUUCGGCUGUCAGUGGCGGACGGGUGAGUAACGCGUAGGUAUCUAUCCUUGGGUGGGGGACAACCGUGGGAAACUACGGCUAAUACCGCAUGACGACCAUUUUUGUGGUGAGAGUGGUCCAAAGGCGCAAGUCGCCUGAGGAGGAGCCUGCGUACGAUUAGCUAGUUGGUGGGGUAAAGGCCUACCAAGGCUACGAUCGUUAGCUGGUCUGAGAGGAUGAUCAGCCACACUGGGACUGAGACACGGGCCCCAGGACUCCUACGGGGAGGCAGCAGUGGGGGAAUAUUUGGACAAUGGGCGCAAGCCUGAUCCAGCAAUGCCGCGUGGGUGAAGAAGGUC
RNAcentral lists this ribosomal RNA (385 nucleotides) under uncultured bacterium. RNAcentral describes it as "bacterial SSU rRNA". It matches the Rfam family "Bacterial small subunit ribosomal RNA", at positions 29 to 416 of the family's 1533-position model. The record is from RNAcentral.